This 509-nucleotide ribosomal RNA is filed under the name uncultured bacterium. RNAcentral describes it as "bacterial SSU rRNA". It matches the Rfam family "Bacterial small subunit ribosomal RNA", at positions 791 to 1304 of the family's 1533-position model. The record is from RNAcentral.
UAGUCCACGCUGUAAACGAUGAUCACUAGAUGUCCGGCGCUUCGGCGCUGGGUGUCCAAGCGAAAGCGAUAAGUGAUCCACCUGGGGAGUACGUUCGCAAGAAUGAAACUCAAAGGAAUUGACGGGGGCCCGCACAAGCGGUGGAGCAUGUGGUUUAAUUCGAUGAUACGCGAGGAACCUUACCUGGGCUACAAUGCCUUUGACCGCCCCGGAAACGGGGUUUCCCUUCGGGGCAAAGUGCAAGGUGCUGCAUGGUUGUCGUCAGCUCGUGUCGUGAGAUGUUGGGUUAAGUCCCGCAACGAGCGCAACCCUUGUCUUUAGUUGCCAUCAUUUAGUUGGGCACUCUAGAGAAACUGCCGGUGACAAACCGGAGGAAGGUAAGGAUGACGCCAAGUCAGCAUGCCCCUUACGCUCUGGGCUACACACGUGCUACAAUGGUCGUGACAAAGAGUUGCUAGUCUGCGAAGGCAAGCCAAUCUCAUAAACGCGGCCUUAGUUCGGAUUGCAGG